Molecule: long non-coding RNA, 872 nt
Filed under: Phoenix dactylifera (date palm)
Lineage: Eukaryota; Viridiplantae; Streptophyta; Magnoliopsida; Arecales; Arecaceae
Description: long non-coding RNA (PDAC_LNC000882)
Source: RNAcentral
AGAGAGAGAGAGAGAAUCCAUCAGUCAAGGUCUCCCAUUGGGUUCAUUCUAGUUAUCAUUGGGUUGGCUAAAUUUCGAAUAGCCCAAUCUCUUAUGAUAUAUAUUUAAUUAGUCUCUCUCUCUCCGCGCGCACACGCGCGCGUGAAAAGGAAGGAGAGAACUUGAGUUACUUCGUCAUGGAAAUGAAGAAGAAACAAGCCGCAGCAUCAGCCUCUUCCUCAACUUCCUAAGCUUGUGCAUGUUUAUAGUUGCACGGUGGGGAGCUUUUUCAGCAUCAGCCUCUUCCUCAGCAACCUUGCUCUUAAACUCUGUCUCCAUCUGGUUCCAGAAGCAAGCUUCCCUUCUCUUCUUCCUAAUGGUGGCAAGCACAUCGUAUUUAUUGCAUAUCCCCCAUACUGUCACCUUUUGAAGGUGGUAAUCAACAUGCACUGAGUGUAUCCCUGCAUAAUGGAACAAUUAUUAACGCAAUAGAACAAUUCGUUAGCCUAUUAGCUGGAAUACUUAUAAAUGUUUCAAUUAGAUCAUUAAAUUAAAAACCAAGAAUAUGAGCUAAUGUCAUUAAGUUUGGCAAAUAUGAAUGUUUUGGAAAUGAAGAAUAUGGUCAGUGAACUGGAAAAAAAAACUUAUAGUUAAUUUUUUAUCAGAAAGGGGAGGACAAGAAAUCAUGUUGUUGUUGUUUGAAAUUUGUCUCCAGUCUCCUGCCAAGUUGUUUAUUGGGGUAAUGAUAUAAAAAAAAACCUAAAUUCAUAAACAAACCCUCAAAAUACCUGUUAAAAAUGUAAAAAUGCCAUAUGUUAAAAAGACCCACAAGAAAGGGCAUUCUUGCCAAUGGCUACUCCAAUGGAAGAAGAUUAUAUAGAUCCAUAUUUCAU